Molecule: ribosomal RNA, 497 nt
Filed under: uncultured bacterium
Lineage: Bacteria
Description: partial 16S ribosomal RNA
Rfam family: Bacterial small subunit ribosomal RNA
Source: RNAcentral
GAUGAACGCUGGCGGCGUGCCUAAUACAUGCAAGUCGAGCGAACGGACGAGAAGCUUGCUUCUCUAAUGUUAGCGGCGGACGGGUGAGUAACACGUGGAUAACCUACCUAUAAGACUGGGAUAACUUCGGGAAACCGGAGCUAAUACCGGAUAAUAUUUUGAACCGCAUGGUUCAAAAGUGAAAGACGGUCUUGCUGUCACUUAUAGAUGGAUCCGCGCUGCAUUAGCUAGUUGGUAAGGUAACGGCUUACCAAGGCAACGAUGCAUAGCCGACCUGAGAGGGUGAUCGGCCACACUGGAACUGAGACACGGUCCAGACUCCUACGGGAGGCAGCAGUAGGGAAUCUUCCGCAAUGGGCGAAAGCCUGACGGAGCAACGCCGCGUGAGUGAUGAAGGUCUUCGAAUCGUAAAACUCUGUUAUUAGGGAAGAACAUAUGUGUAAGUAACUGUGCACAUCUUGACGGUACCUAAUCAGAAAGCCACGGCUAACUACGUG